This 50-nucleotide transfer RNA is filed under the name Biomphalaria glabrata. RNAcentral's name for it is "tRNA-Leu". Lineage: Eukaryota; Metazoa; Mollusca; Gastropoda; Planorbidae. The record is from RNAcentral.
GUGGCAGAGGAAUGCAAAGAUUUUAAGAGUCUUUUAUGAAAUUUAUUUCC